GACGAACGCUGGCGGCGUGCUUAACACAUGCAAGUCGAACGGAAAGGCCCUGCUUUUGUGGGGUGCUCGAGUGGCGAACGGGUGAGUAACACGCGAGUAACCUGCCCUUGACCUUGGGAUAACUUCAGGAAACUGGGGCUAAUACCGGAUAGGAGCUCCUGCUGCAUGGUGGGGGUUGGAAAGUUUCGGCGGUUGGGGAUGGACUCGCGGCUUAUCAGCUUGUUGGUGGGGUAGUGGCUUACCAAGGCUUUGACGGGUAGCCGGCCUGAGAGGGUGACCGGCCACAUUGGGACUGAGAUACGGCCCAGACUCCUACGGGAGGCAGCAGUGGGGAAUAUUGCACAAUGGGCGGAAGCCUGAUGCAGCAACGCCGCGUGCGGGAUGACGGCCUUCGGGUUGUAAACCGCUUUCGCCUGUGACGAAGCGUGAGUGACGGUAAUGGGUAAAGAAGCACCGGCUAACUACGU
Molecule: ribosomal RNA, 467 nt
Filed under: uncultured bacterium
Lineage: Bacteria
Description: partial 16S ribosomal RNA
Rfam family: Bacterial small subunit ribosomal RNA
Source: RNAcentral